Molecule: long non-coding RNA, 435 nt
Filed under: Durio zibethinus
Lineage: Eukaryota; Viridiplantae; Streptophyta; Magnoliopsida; Malvales; Malvaceae
Description: long non-coding RNA (DZIB_LNC001362)
Source: RNAcentral
UUUUUUUUCAAAUGAAUUGAAUGGUUCAGCACGUUGAUGUUUCAGUUUUAUUCAAAAAGGGCUUCACCACUUCAUGGGAAUAAAAUAUGUGUAUACUUUUCCAUGUAGGCUCACAAAUGAAACAUAAAUUUUUCUAAAAACAUGAAUCCCUUGAAAAUCAAAUAUGUUUUGCACUUUCUUUAUUAUCCAAAUAUGGCAUUUUGAUACAUGUCAGGGUUAGCUGUGAUGGGCUCAAAAAUUUUAAAGGUAAUUUAGGGAUGAAGAAAGAAUGCUCAAAUUUUCGAAACCAAUCCCUUUUUAUGCAUUUCAAGCUUUGGAUUUUUCAAGGGUUUGGGUUACCUUUAUUUAGCAUCCAUCUCACUUAGUAUUAAGAGUGGCUUUAAGGCCUUUAAGGUUUGCUGGAGAUUACCUUUUUGCUGGUUUUUCACCUUAGAG